UACGGGGGGUGCAAGCGUUGUUCGGAAUUAUUGGGCGUAAAGAGCGUGUAGGCGGCGAGAUCAGUCAGAUGUGAAAGCCCUGGGCUCAACUCAGGAAGUGCAUUUGAUACUGUUUUGCUUGAGUACUGGAGAGGGAAGAGGAAUUCCUGGUGUAGAGGUGAAAUUCGUAGAUAUCAGGAGGAACACCGGUGGCGAAGGCGACUUCCUGGCCAGAUACUGACGCUGAGACGCGAGAGCGUGGGGAG
RNAcentral lists this ribosomal RNA (245 nucleotides) under uncultured bacterium. Its description in RNAcentral is "partial 16S ribosomal RNA". It matches the Rfam family "Bacterial small subunit ribosomal RNA", at positions 524 to 768 of the family's 1533-position model. The record is from RNAcentral.